RNAcentral lists this long non-coding RNA (1413 nucleotides) under Bos indicus x Bos taurus (hybrid cattle). Its description in RNAcentral is "lncRNA (ENSBIXG00000018371.1)". The record is from RNAcentral. Lineage: Eukaryota; Metazoa; Chordata; Mammalia; Artiodactyla; Bovidae.
AUGGAACUCCUAGCCAGAACAAUGAGGUUAAAAAAUAAAAAAGGUUUCAAAGUCAUCCAAAUCAAAAAGGAAAAAGUAAAAUUGUCUCUCUUUGCAGAUGAUAUAAUCCUUUUUGUUAUUUUUAAUUUGUUAAUUCUGCAUGUAUUAUCUUUGGCUAUGUUUUCAUUCAUAACGGAAGCAGAAGAUAUUAAGAAGAGAUGGCAAGAAUACACAGAUGAACUGUACAAAAAAGAUCUUCACCACCCAGAUAAUCACAAUGGUGUGAUCACUGACCUAGAGCCAGACAUCCUGGAAUGUGAAGUCAAGUGGGCCUUAGGAAGCAUCACUACGAACAAAGCUAGUGGAGGUGAUGGAAUUCUAGUUGAGCUCUUUCAAAUCCUGAAAGAUGAUGUUGUGGAAGUGCUGCACUCAAUAUGCCAGCAAAUUUGGAAAACUCAGCAGUGGCCACAGGACUGGAGAAGGUCAGUUUUCAUUCCAAUCCCAAAGAAAGGCAAUGCCAAAGAAUGCUCAAACUACUGCACAAUCAAACUCAUCUCACACGCUAGUAAAGUAAUGCUCAAAAUUCUCCAAGCCAGGCUUCAGCAAUAUGUGAACCGUGAACUUCCUGAUGUUCAAGCUGGUUUUAGAAAAGGCAGAGGAACCAGAGAUCAAAUUGCCAACAUCUGCUGGAUUGUGGAAAAAGCAAGAGAGUUCCAGAAAAACAUCUAUUUCUGCUUUAUUGACUAUGCCAAAGCCUUUGACUGUGUGGAUCACAAUAAUAUGCUUUUGAACUGUGGUGUUGGAGAAGACUCUUGAGAGUCCCUUGGACUGCAAGGAGAUCCAACCAGUCCAUUCUGAAGGAGAUCAGCCCUGGGAUUUCUUUGGAAGGAAUGAUGGUAAAGCUGAAACUCCAGUACUUUGGCCACCUCGUGCGAAGACUUGACUCAUUGGAAAAGACUCUGAUGCUGGGAGGGACUGGGGGCAAGAGGAGAAGGGGACGACAGAGGAUGAGAUGGCUGGAUGGCAUCACUGACUCGAUGGACGUGAGUCUCAGUGAACUCCAGGAGCUGGUGAUGGACAGGGAGGCCUGGAGUGCUGCGAUUCAUGGGGUCGCAAAGAGUCGGACACGACUGAGCGACUGAUAUAAUCUGAUCUGAUGUUUUCAUUCUUAUUUCUGGUGUUAUUUCUCUAUCAUCAGAAUUAUCAGAGGCUUAUGAAUUUUAUUGGGCUUUUCAAGGGACUAACUUUAAUUAAUCUAAGCUUACCUUUGUGGGUUAUUUUCUAUUUAUUUCUGCUUAUAUCUUUUUAAAUUCCCUCAUAAAUUUUUUGUUUUGUUUGGUUCUCUUUCUUUCAGCUAGAGUUGAAACCUUACUGCAUUUAUUUUCUGUCUUUCUUGCUAAUAAAUGUACUUAAGAACGUAUAUUUCUGCUGAUU